ACGCACGCUGGCGGCGCGCCUCACACAUGCAAGUCGAACGGAGCUGAGAGAAGCUUGCUUUUCUUAGCUUAGUGGCGAACGGGUGAGUAACGCGUGAGUAACCUGCCCUGGAGUGGGGGACAACAGUUGGAAACGACUGCUAAUACCGCAUAAGCCCACGAUCCGGCAUCGGAUUGAGGGAAAAGGAUUUAUUCGCUUCAGGAUGGACUCGCGUCCAAUUAGCUAGUUGGUGAGGUAACGGCCCACCAAGGCGACGAUUGGUAGCCGGACUGAGAGGUUGAACCGCCACAUUGGGACUGAGACACGGCCCAGACUCCUACGGGAGGCAGCAGUGGGGGAUAUUGCACAAUGGGGGAAACCCUGAUGCAGCGACGCCGCGUGGAGGAAGAAGGUUUUCGGAUUGUAAACUCCUGUCGUUAGGGACGAUAAUGACGGUACCUAACAAGAAAGCACCGGCUAACUACGUG
RNAcentral lists this ribosomal RNA (467 nucleotides) under uncultured bacterium. Its description in RNAcentral is "partial 16S ribosomal RNA". It matches the Rfam family "Bacterial small subunit ribosomal RNA", at positions 29 to 507 of the family's 1533-position model. The record is from RNAcentral.